AGAGUUUGAUCCUGGCUCAGAACGAACGUUGGCGACGCGUUUUAAGCAUGCAAGUCGAGCGUGAUCAUUGAGCUUGCUCAAUGUGAAAGCGGCGGACUGGUGAGUAACACGUAAGUAAUCUACCCCUAAGUGGGGGAUAGCCCCUGGAAACAGGGAUUAAUACCCCAUGGUUCGUAUUGGCAUAAGUUGAUAUGAUAAAGCUUUCGUGCUUAGGGAUGAGCUUGCGGCCCAUUAGCUUGUUGGUAAGGUAACGGCUUACCAAGGCGACGAUGGGUAGCCGGCUUGAGAGGGCGACCGGCCACAUUGGGACUGAGAUACGGCCCAGACUCCUACGGGAGGCAGCAGCUGAGAAUCUUCCGCAAUGGACGCAAGUCUGACGGAGCGACGUCGCGUGAGGGAUGAAGGUCUUCGGAUUGUAAACCUCUUUUAGUACUGAUGAAUGGAUGACCGUAGGUACUGAAUAAGCCUCGGCUAACUACGUGCCAGCAGCCGCGGUAAUACGUAGGAGGCAAACGUUGUUCGGAUUUACUGGGCGUAAAGGGUGAGUAGGUGGAAAAGUAAGUCUGAGGUGAAAGAUCGGGGCUUAACCCCGGAAACGCCUUGGAUACUGCUUUUCUAGAGUGUGACAGAGGAAGAC
RNAcentral lists this ribosomal RNA (637 nucleotides) under uncultured bacterium. Its description in RNAcentral is "bacterial SSU rRNA". It matches the Rfam family "Bacterial small subunit ribosomal RNA", at positions 8 to 662 of the family's 1533-position model. The record is from RNAcentral.